UUACUGGAAAGCCCCCGGUCCCGACACGGUUGACGGCCGUGUUUUAAAUGUCUUUUGUAGCCUCGGGUUUCCGCUUCGUAGCCGCGCUAUACUUUCCACACACACGCAGGGCGAGAGUGUGAGAGGAGAGCGUGUCGAGAGUGACAGGGACUCCGUUGUAGGAGGCGCUGUCCAUGGUGCUGCGAAGAGGAAGUGCUGGCCAUGGUGCUUCAGCGAGGACAAGCAACUGAAGAAGGAAGUCAAACCUCGGCUAAUACAGCUCAGUUUCCAUAGUGUCAAACCCACUAACCAUCAAUGGAGGUUUGUUACCUGUUUGCUAAAACCCGCGGCGCUUGCUGCUUCCAUACCAGCUUCAAAGAAACCACAGUGUUUGGCUGCCUCAAGAUUUGCAAGCAGUUGCCAGGUGAUAUGAUUGAUUUAUUCAUGAUUAUGUUUGCCCAGCUCUCAGAGAACAGACAUGACUAUAACUGUGUAAGCACUGUAAUCACCACAUCAACUCAGAUUAGACACAGCGAUACUGCAAGUGUUUGUGUGCUUGCAUCAGCCAAUUAACCAGCACAAGUUACAGGAGUCAACACAUUUCUCACAGCAGUCUGGAUAAAACUGUAAAAACACUUUUGACAAAUAUAGUCAAUUUUACUCCUGGAGAAACUGCUCAGUGUAACACCAUUUUUCUGGCCCUGAAAAAAUUGUUUAUAACAUAAACCUUAAAUCUGUCAAUGCACAUUACUAUGCGCACACGCACAUCAUCUGCCCUGUCUAAUAUCUUGACAGGACAACCCAUUUGAAAGAUGUCAUACAAGGUAAAGGUGCCCACUGAUCAAUCUUCUCCAUUGAUUUAUGGUUGAUGACACCGGGAGGUGGCUGCAAAAAGCUCCCACAUUUAGCUUAUUGACAAGCUGUAUCGAGUGACACAUCGCGGCCCGAGAAUCAUUUUCUGGGAUAGCAUAGCUACCCACCAGCUAAUUGACAGUAAAUGGCUUAAAAUAGGAUGUAGCUGUAAUGCACAAGGAUAUUUUGCAGUAUCAGUGUUGGGUGUCUCUGUAAACCAUCUUUAAAACAGAGUGAGUUCAUUGCUGGUGUGAAUCCAUGAGGUGAGAUGAAGGCGAUAAUGUCCUUCACCUGAAUGACCUGGUAUGACACAUCAUGCUGAUGCAAUAAUUGUCACUCAACACGUGAGUUCACAACAUCAAUCUCUCCCCAUAAUUUGGCAGCAACCCUGCCACCAGACAAGAACACCAACAUUGGAUGGUUCUGUAAAGUCCGUUUCCAGUAUUUCACAUAUAAAUAAACAACACGACGUGUCUCCUGCACACAUAACCUUUAGCUUUUAUAACAGCUUUUUUCCAAGUCCAAUAUAUCUGAACAAGUCCAAUAUAGCUGUAAAAUGUGGAAUAUGUUCCCAUAAGUUCUGGAGUGCACAUAACUCUAUACUUUUUGUAUUUUACGGUAUUUAACUGUACUUUUAUUGUGUGUACAGAUGCUCUAGCUUUCUCAUCUCAGCACAGUGAAAAUAUGUGGAGGAAGCCAGUUUCAGAGCACAGUAUAGGGGCCAAUUAUUGUAUGACAGCCCUGUCAGAUACAGAUGUACGCUAUUUAAUAGGGAUCCCAGGCAAGUUUGAGAUGUGAGCGUGUGAACAGGAAACUGGAAAACGAGGUAUGAAAUGUAUUUUUUGAGUGAGUUGUUCAGCUCCUGAAGCAUGCACUUCUGUUUCUUAGUGUUCAAAGUUGCAAGACUGGGAUAACAAAUUGGUAGCGCUCUAUACAGAGGGAGCAAAUAUCAGCUCCACAUCCAUCAGCUCUGUAAGUGCACAAACAACUCACCGACCUAAACCUGAGCAGGCGUCACUAAAAAUGAACACGAAAGAAUAAAUAUUUUACAGCCGAGCUUAACAUUUUGGGAACUAUUUGCUCUCAUGUGUGAGUUAAAUCAGAAGAUUGAAACCACUCUCUCAGCUCAGUAUUUGUCUGCUGUGGUUCUAGCUUUGCAUUCAGUGUGCACAUAUAAGGUUGUUGCCUAUCAAUUAUUCCGUCUAAGUCUCAGUAGAGAGCAGAAGUGUCUAACUAUGUGCUAUUUGCAAAUGUUGUAUUUGCUAUCAGCCUUAACAGCUUUUUAGAUAGCAGGCUACACGACAUGAUGCUGCCAGGUAGAGGUACGUGAGUUACACCCUGGACAGGAUGUCAGUCCAUCAUGUUUUUGGAAGAAAACUCACAGACACAAACAAAAAAGGGGCAAAUCAACUGGUUGCAAGGGAAAGUGUGCAUCUUCUCACUAAAUGUAUAACAUUAUUCGUAAAUAUUUUCCUGAAGUGUUAAUGGUCUCAUUCCCUUGUCUCAAAUCUUCUUCCAUGAAAUACGAUGCAAUGUUGACUGACAAAGUGCUCGUCAACUUCACAGUGGGAGUUAAAACCAGAAGACAGUCUAUUUUGCACAUGCAGCAUCAACAAGAUGUCUGGUUGAUUUAGUUUAUUCCAAUCUAAAUUAAAUAGUUCCUGCAGCAGGCUGCCAAACUGUUGUUGUGUCUGUUGUUAUCCUGCCAGUGUCAGUUAAACACAGGUGAAAAACAACCAGUAAUCUGUAACCAAAGCCAUUCACAGUCUUGGUUUACUUAAAUCAUAAUGACGUAGUUAAACACAACUAAUUAGAGCUGUGGGCAGCUGCUGGUGUGACGGCAUCAGUGCGUCUUGUACGACCUUGGUGUAACAGGAGUCCGUGUUCAGCCACUGGCUAUUGAGGGCAAGGGGAAACUAUAGAAGCGCCCUAUAAACUUAGACAAUGAUUGCUACAGCACCAGCAGGAUUCAGUUCCUCUUAUAGGGCACCUGCGAAAGCAACUGGCCUCAUUAGAUUCUACAGAGCCGUGAGGAGGUACGGAGGGAUGUCACCUGGAGAGUCAUAGAGAUAAUUUUAUAUCACAGCUAUCUCUUAAAGCUAAAAUUGUCAAUGACGGUGCACUUACAACUCUCCAGGUGGUGCGAUGGGUGACAAACAGUAUUGUGUAAUCCCCUACUUGAAUAUUUUAUGAACCAGUUGCCAGUGAAGCAGAAACCAGGGGAGUUCAACUCCGCGAGUAGUGGUGCACUGUGGGAAAUGUUGGAUGGAGUAUUUUGAUAGGGCUCUUAAUCAGAGCAAUAAGAGACAUGAGUUUCACUUAUUGUGUUUCUGCAUUUUGGAGGAUUCCCUUUACAGAAAAAACUAAAGUUUAUACCGCCCUCUGUUGGCAACAUUAUUCAAACACACCUACAUAAUGGUGUGAAGUGCAGUGGUAGGUUUAAAUUUAAUACCGGCUCAUGAUGGGGUUAAAAAAUAAAACAAAAAUAUAAAAACACCUCAUUAUACAUAAAUGUCCUGCAUUUAUAGUCAUAGUUUAAAAAUAAUAACAUGCACUAUUAGAGUAAUAAUAAGAUAAGAGAUCACACGAUCUAGGGAUGCACCGAUUUUUGUGUACUUAAUAAUCGCAUUACAGCAAAAAAAAAAAGGAUUUGCUUAUCUUAAAGUAUUUCCACACUGCUGACAUUGUGUCACAGCUGCUUAUUUCUACACACCUGCUCUGCUCACUUGAAGAUUCAUUAAGUGGUACUGUGUGCAGCAGUAUCACUAUAAGUACAAAUAGUAUAAUAUGAGUACCAGAUCCAGAAAAAGUGACAUUUUACUGCUCAGAAAACCCUUCUGAAAAAUGCUUCUUUCCCGAUGAAGACUAACCAGAAGCUGAACAACAAAAUCACCAGAGGUUAUUCACUGGAGCUGAAGAGAGCAAUGUCAAGCUUCAUUCCACCACAUUCAUAUGGAAUGAAAAUCCCAUAGUGCAGGUGGUCACACAGUACAGUAGCUAUUGUACAUUGACAACAGGAGUGAGGUUGAAUUAAAGCAGUGGAUCUGUGUGUCUCUCUCUCCCUCUGUCUGCUUCCUUUUCUUCAUAACUCGGUCUGAAUCACACAGAGGCCUUGUCAUGUCUGGAGAGGUUUAAACCACUUAGAGGAUGAGCAGGGGUCUGAGCUCCCCUCAGACAUUCAAGAACAGCCUUCUGUUGAGAGCGAGAUCCUGGAGGAGCCCUGUUUAGCCACAGAUAGUAGAUAAGUGCCCUGUUAGUUCAUCCUUUCUCAGCACUUGAAGCUCCAGUUCCAAGAGCUACUUAGAGGAUGCUGUGCAGCGUUUUGCCCCCCUCUCCUCUUUAAAGCAGCUGAGCUCAGAGAAACACAUUUGUCACACUGGGAGGCUUUACAACCCCCUGAGCCGCCACAUGCAAUACACUGUAGGUUUACAGGCACAGACUAUAUUUAUCAAACUAUGAAAUUUGAGUAUUUGCUGCGUCACUCAGUGGAACGAUCCUAUGCUCAGUUAACUCUGCUGGUCAAGGAUAAAGUGGUGAUACUCUUGAUUUUUGUGGAUGACAGUAUAUCAAGUAAAAACACCUAAAGCCAACAAAGUAAAGUUUUUUUUUUUUUGUAUUUGUUCCCUGUUUCCGACUUGCAGGCCAAAGGCCACAAGUCUGUUUGAAGGCUGCUGUGACUGAGCACGCCGCCACAAUGGACCAUUAUAACCGAAUGUGUCUAACAUGUUUUGAUGGUGGGAGGAAAUCGGAGUGCCACUUUAAAAAGGCCAAGACUGUAAUUUCCCAAAACGUCUUGGCACUAUACAUCUAUCUGAAGAUCUAUUUUUUGUUUGCCUGUGAAAUUCAAUUGCGUAAAGUUGCUUUUCUAUUUUUCUGUCUUGGAUGACCUCCUCUAACACCACAGCUCUUCUCGCUUGAAAAAGUGAACAAUCUGACUUCUCUGCGUCUGAUACGGCACAAGCUCAUAUGACUCUGUCUCCCCAUGUGUGAUAACCUUAUAUGGGCUAUAGGUUUACUGACACUAAUACACCAAUGUUACAGUAUCUAAGGGGGCAGGGGUUAAAGAGGAAAACUUACUCGAUCACACGCUGUAACAGCUCUGUUUUCAUGCCUGGCUCUGGCCUGUCAAUCUCACGUGUUAUGAUCUCUUUCCAUUGAUGCGAGUUGGCAGGAGUCACUGUCAGGUGAAUAGAGCAGGGUUUGGGUCGGAGACGGAAGGUAAAAGGCAACCCAAUCCACUCUCUGGCUCGCCAUGUGAUGUUGUUUGGGUUGAGCUGGGAAUCUCUUAAUGAGAAAAAGUGAAGAGUGCCAAGUCUGACCUGCGGUGGAGAACAUUAAAUAUUUUAUCGAACAACCAAACAGACAUGCGGCAGUCUCAAUUUCAUCUUCCUGUUUGUCUUGAUCAUGAGGUUUGAUCAGACUUAGUAAAUCAGAGCAUAGCAGGUGUUAAGGAGGAAGAUGAAUAAAUUGAAUUAUUUUUAAUGUUGAAGUCCAGUGUGUAAGAAUUUUGGUGAGACGUGUGUCAGAAAACUAAAUUGGUCUUUGCAGAAAGGAAGUUGUUAUAGUGCAGUAAGCCUCUGCUUCAGGCUGCUAUAGAAACAUGGUGGUGCAAGAUACCUCCAUAAUACCAGGCCCUUAUUCUAAGGCUAUGAAAAGCAAAGCUUUCUUGUUUCAGGUGAGUUUACACUUAAUCAACAAACAUACUUAUGGGAAACAUAACUACGAUAAGAUGUGACAAAAACAGAUUUGAGUAUAACAGAAGUUUAAAAUAAGCUAAAAUGGAAAAUAAGCAUGUGCAGUGCAAUAAGCAGUGACAUGAACCCAACUCAUGUGAAAUACCAGACGUUUAAUUCCCGUAGGAACCACUAGAUGGCAGUCUUUUAGCACAAAUGAAUCCACAAACCAACAAUCGUACAUGUUUUAAAAAACAUAUACGCAAGUAUAAUAAUAACAACAAUAAUAAUAUGAUUCUUGAAAUAAAAUAUAUAUAGCCCUUCAUCCUGUAUAUGUCUAUUUAUUAUCUGUGCACAGAUAUGAUGAGAAACUGUUAAACUGGAAGUGUGCGGUGAGUCAGUGUGCAGGUAAAUGUCUGCUCAGUGUAAUUAAAUCAGCACAAUAAGCGGUGAGGAAAAACGCAGCCCUGUUUUCAAAAUGCUAAUUUCGCUAAUGAUAUAGACAUAUUCUCUGCUAAUGUUUUUAAAAUACACGUCUUAUAUCAGACAUAUUAAAACAUCUGCAUGAUCAUUUUAUUUAAAAAAAAUUGGAUUAGGGAGAGAAUAAUGCAUUUUGUCAAGCCCAUUGCAUGAUUUCACCUUUCAUCUUUUUUAAUCAAUAGUUUUAUGUUGUUUCAAACACCUUAGUGUUGCGAUACGCCACUUACUCACUGACGCAUCAUUUAACCCUGCUUUUAAAUCCUUCAGGCUGUGAAUUAUCUGAAAACAUGAUGUUAGAACAUUUAUUCCAUGUAACAAUGUAAAACAUGUAAAACAAUCACCCUAUAAUUCAUUAUUACUGAACAAAACAAAUGAUAUGUAUAUAAGUUUAAUUGAAACUGCUUCAGUUCAUGAUUCAUCAUAUAAUACAAUUAAACAAUUACAAUUA
Solea senegalensis (Senegalese sole) is the source of this 6432-nucleotide long non-coding RNA. RefSeq lists it as uncharacterized. The transcript is spliced from 2 exons. Lineage: Eukaryota; Metazoa; Chordata; Actinopteri; Pleuronectiformes; Soleidae. The record is from RefSeq and is a predicted model, not a curated record.